CUAGAAACAAGAACAAGAAGUUUGUGCCUAAUCUUAUGGAGGGGAAAACUGUUCUUCUUUGUCUGAUGGUGCUUGUGUUGCUAGUAAAUUCCACUCACGCUGAGCAUUGCGAAACACACAUUACACCGGACUUUAUGUGCUCGAGUUACCAUUGCCGGAGUAUGUGCAGGGAUGAGUGGGACCAUGUAAAGGAAGCGUACUGCAGCAUCGGCAAGUCCUUUUUUCAACGUCAAUGUGUCUGCGUUGUAUGUGACUAGAGUAGCACUCUAGCAUCAUACCAAAUAAUGAACAAUUAUGCCCAAUAAUAAAAUGUUCUUGUGACA
This is a long non-coding RNA of Triticum dicoccoides, 323 nucleotides long. RefSeq lists it as uncharacterized. The transcript is spliced from 2 exons. Lineage: Eukaryota; Viridiplantae; Streptophyta; Magnoliopsida; Poales; Poaceae. The record is from RefSeq and is a predicted model, not a curated record.